This 559-nucleotide ribosomal RNA is filed under the name uncultured bacterium. RNAcentral describes it as "bacterial SSU rRNA". It matches the Rfam family "Bacterial small subunit ribosomal RNA", at positions 356 to 896 of the family's 1533-position model. The record is from RNAcentral.
UAGGAAUNUCCGNAUGGGCGAAAGCCUGACGGAGCAACGCCGCGUGAGUGAUGAAGGUCUUCGGAUUGUAAAACUCUGUUAUUAUGGAAGAACANNNGAGGAACAAAUGUGUAAGUAUUUAUGCCACGUCUUGACGGUACUUNNUCAGAAAGCCACGGCUAACUACGUGCCAGCAGCCGCGGUAAUACGUAGGUGGCAAGCGUUAUCCGGAAUUAUUGGGCGUAAAGCGCGCGUAGGCGGUUUUUUAAGUCUGAUGUGAAAGCCCACGGCUCAACCGUGGAGGGUCAUUGGAAACUGGAAAACUUGAGUGCAGAAGAGGAAAGUGGAAUUCCAUGUGUAGCGGUGAAAUGCGCAGAGAUAUGGAGGAACACCAGUGGCGAAGGCGACUUUCUGGUCUGUAACUGACGCUGAUGUGCGAAAGCGUGGGGAUCAAACAGGAUUAGAUACCCUGGUAGUCCACGCCGUAAACGAUGAGUGCUAAGUGUUAGGGGGUUUCCGCCCCUUAGUGCUGCAGCUAACGCAUUAAGCACUCCGCCUGGGGAGUACGACCGCAAGGUUG